Anolis carolinensis (green anole) is the source of this 3550-nucleotide long non-coding RNA. Lineage: Eukaryota; Metazoa; Chordata; Lepidosauria; Squamata; Anolidae. The record is from Ensembl.
CAUCUCAGGUUGGACAGGAAUCCUUGUGUCAUCGGAAGGUUUGACCGCCUUGCUGACUCAUUGCAUGUGUUUGCAAAAGGUUCACAGGAAAGAUGUAGUGAGGUUGAGGUCUCUAUUACCAGGCUCUUUUCAGCAGGAGGAAGGUGGUUUUCGUGCCUGAUUUUUUGGAUGCCCUUUCAUGAUAUGAAACAGGCAUUCUUACUCAUAUGAAUACCAAAGAGUGCAAACCAGGGCAAGUAUACAGUGCUCUCCUCUUCCACAUGUUCUUGAAGUUCUGACGAAUGUGCUGGCUCCCUUGCGUGUUUGCUCUCCUUAGCCGCAGCUUGUGCUGUGAGCCGAUUUAUCUCUGUCUUUCUCCGCCCAUCUCUCAUGCCACUGCAGCGCUUGGCAAUGCCAGCCAGGGCAUCCAGGCCAGAAAUAGUUCUCUGGCUCCAGUCGGCAACUUGAGACGCCCAAGCGCGGUCCUGCCUGACCGCAAAAGCCAGGUUACUAAGCUGAGCUGCCUUGUGGGAAGAUUUUCCUACUUGUCCCUUGGCACUGAGCUUUUGUGUGCACAGUGGGUUAAGCUGCUGAGCUGAACUUGCUGACCAAAAGGACGGCGGUUCGAAUCCGGGGAACAAGGUGAGCUCCCACUGUUAGCCCUAGCUUCUGCCAAUCUAGCAGUUCGAAAACAUGCAAAUGCAAGUAGAUCAAUAGGUACCACUCUGGCGGGAAGGUAACUGUGCUCCAUGCAGUCAUGCCAGCCACAUGACCUUGGAUACGUCUACGGACAACGCCGGUUCUUUGGCUUAGAAAUUGAGAUGAACAUCAACCCCCAGAAUUGGACACGAGGGGAAAACCUUUAUCUUUUGCCUUUAUGUUUGUUUCAGCUGUUGUAACUUGCCUUGAAUCCCCAGCUGGAGAAAGCGUGGGGUGUGAAUUAUAAGUAUGAUUCUAAUGUCUAAGUCCCAGCAAUCCACCGAUUUAAGGUGGAACAACGAUGCCACUGCCUGUUUAUAGCCGCUGUCCUUUGGCUCUCAACUUCUGGCUUGCGCCUCUAGCCAAGAGCGGGGCGAAGGGCUUCUGUCUGGAAGGAGGGGCCAAACAGUUGCUCGGUUUUAGCAGCUGCUGUAUCUAUUUUCCCACUUAGGAGAUUAACACAUGAGGCUUGUAGCACAGAAACUCCCUACCCAUGAAUGGAAAUGCUCACAAUCACAAUGGCACAACCUCAAACCAGUGUCCAACUCCCAUUUUUAAGCAGCAGAAAGCACUUCCAAAGUGCGGUAGGUCAAAAGCACAAGUUUAGGACAGGGAGAUAUUUGGGGAGGUGUUUUUUGGGCAUCACUUCCACUUCCCGAUCCUCAAGCGGCCAGCCAUUCUGGUUGGAAAAUCAUCACUUCUGGGGGGACAAGGCAAGGCAAAGGAAAAUUUGGGGAUAAUAGAUUAGUUGGGUUGCUGUGAGUUUUCCGGGCUGUAUGGCUAUGUUCUAGAAGCAUUCUCUCCUGACAUUUCGCCCACAUCUAUGGCAGGCAUCCUCAGAGGUUGUGAGGUCUGUUGGAAACUAGGCAAGUGGGGUUUAUAUAUCUGUGGAGUGUCCAGUUUUAUAUAUCUGUAUCAACAACACAAUAGAUUAGUUAUUGGUUAGUAGACAAAUGUCUACUAUGCCACAAGGAGGGUUGAAUGUAUGAAGAGUUCUUUUACAAAAUUAUCAUUGCUACAACUAAGUCUCCAUCUCUAUUUCUUUAACACAUACUUCAUAAAAUACUGAAGGUUCUAACAAUUUUAAUUUUAAGUCAGUUGGUUGUAUCUUCUUAUGUCUUCUCGCCUUGUCUCCUGGUCUUCAUAUAUUAUUUUCCAGUUCUUCAAUGGAAAUUAAACUUAAUUUUUCAUAACACACUAUUUCACACUAGAUUUUUUCUUGGAUUAUUUAUUAUUAAUAUCUACCAAGAAAGUUCUACCUUUUGCCAUUUAGAUUGUUAGUAGGUUAGUGUUUAUAUCAUUUUAUCAUUAUCAUUCUGUGUGUGUGUGUGUGUGUUACAUCAAAUGUAAAUGUACAUUCCAUCUACAACUCUUGGGUUCAAAACUUCUUCUGACUUAACCAUAAAAGCUCAGUAUCAUAAUAUUCUUAUAGUCCAUUUUUAAGAACUUUCUCUGAUAGCUCCUGAAGGCCAGAUCUCUCUGCCUCUGGUGCUGCUAUAUUCUUCUGAAUGAAAGCCCUGAGUUGACAUCACCACCACCACCACCACCACCACCAUCAUCAUGGAUACUUCUGAAGGAAAACCUUGAGAUGACAUCAUCAUCAUCAACACCACAGAUUCUUCUGAAGGAAAGCACUAAGUUGACAUCAUCAUCAUCAUCCCAGAUUCUUCUGAAGGAAAGCCCUGAGACAUCACCACCACCACCAUCAUCAUUAUCACAGAUUCUUCUGAAUGAAACUCCCUGAGAUGACAUCACCAUCACCAUCAUCAUCAUCAUCAUCAUCAUCAUCAUCAUCAUCCCAGAUUCUUCUGAAGGAAAGCCCUGAGACAUCACCACCACCACCAUCAUCAUUAUCACAGAUUCUUCUGAAUGAAACUCCCUGAGAUGACAUCACCAUCAUCAUCAUCAUCAUCAUCAUCAUCCCAGAUUCUUCUGAAGGAAAGCCCUGAGACAUCAUCAUCACCACCACCACCAUCAUCAUUAUCACGGAUUAUUCUGAAUGAAAUUCACUGAGAUGACAUCACCACCAUCAUCAUCAUCAUGGAUUCUUUUGAAGGAAAACCUUGAGAUGAAAUCAUCAUCAUCAUCAUCAUCCCAGAUUCUUCUGAAGGAAAGCCCUGAGACAUCAUCACCACCAUCAUUAUUAUCAUGGAUUCUUCUGAAUGAAACUCCCUGAGAUGACAACACCACCACCAUCAUAUUCAUUUAUUUAUAUCCCGCAUUUUCUAAAAAAGAAACCCAAACUGUCUAAUGAUACUAAAACAAUCCAAUGUGCAAUUCAAAACCUAAACCAGAUAAACAUAAACAUAGAAUUAAGCACAUAAGUAUUUGGCUGAGAAGACUGAAAACUUUGUAAAACUACAACUCCUGUGAUUCUAUAGCAUUGAAUUGGGGCAGCAAAAGUGGUACCAAACUGAAUUAAUUCCACACCGUAGACACACCUUCUGUCUCCUUCUCUUCAACUGAGAACAAACCACUGUUGUACCUUGAACUAAAUUUGCAGCUAUUGAAAUUAGCUGAAGAGCAAAGGAGAUAUUGGGGGGAGGAGAGAGAAACCGGAACAUUGCAAAAGCUGGAAAAGUGGGACGGCAGAGAAUGAAUAUGUUGGUGCCAAAUCAGGACAGUUGGAGGGCAUGCAGGUGGCAGAUGGUGGAGCCUGUCGGGCGGAUGCCAGGAAGAUUAGAGAUAAGACACGAGCCAUUUCUCAAGCCGUUGGUUUGAAAAACCUCAGGGACAGCUCACAUGAGGCUUCCCUUGCAUCAUCCGUGCACAGCUGUGAAACAUGGAGCAGCUUUCUGAAAAAUCGUGCUAGAAGCACACAAAUGUACCGCAAACGCCAAUCCAAAUAGCUGUAAAAAAAUAACUCUUGCCA